RNAcentral lists this long non-coding RNA (1126 nucleotides) under Homo sapiens (human). Its description in RNAcentral is "HSALNT0310126". The record is from RNAcentral. Lineage: Eukaryota; Metazoa; Chordata; Mammalia; Primates; Hominidae.
UCCUUUGCCAUGCCGCUGCAAGGUCAUAAAGUAGAUAAAACUUAAGUUGCAAUUCCGGUUUUCCUCAAGAUCUGAGACAUGUUAAUUGUCUUUGUUUCUCGCUCUGGUAACAUCUUCCCGCUGCACAUAUUUCCCGCCUUAAAGAGUUUAAAAGGUGAUCAAAAAAUCUAACACUGGCCACCCGCUCGGGACACCUUCCACGCUGUGGAAGCUUUGUACUGUCAUUCUGCUCAGUAAAGCCUACAGCCUUUUUUCUCUCGGUCGGGUCCACGUCUCUCUCUCUUGCCGCGGGCUGCCGCCACCCCAACCCUUUGGCGUGGCUAAGGCAACAACCUUUGGUGUUACCCUGGUUUGCAAAGAGGAAUGCCCUCUCCAAACAUGCCUAUCGAAUAAGGUCCUGUUCAUGAUGCAAAUCUCUAUGUGAUCUUCCUCCGGAAUUCUUGAGCCCAUUCCUGGAACUGUGUGAUAACUUGCCCAGAAAAUCUUCUUGUGGAAUCUGUCUUUACAUGGAAAAGACUUGGCAAUAUUUGUACAGCAACUGGAAGAAAGGUCUUUGCUGAGAUAUACAAAGAGGCAGAAUGUGUGUGGAUCACCGAUUAGACAAGGCGAAUAGGAGCAGAAUAGAAGAGGAAUGGAAUAGAACUCAAGGGUGAGCCAGCUUCGGGAUUGCAACUGAGAAGUGGGACUAUUAAAAGAAAGUCAUGCCCAGGUGGCUCACCAAGCUGGAGAAGGGACAAGAGACCUCUGGAGCUUCGCCUUUAUAGCUGAUUGCUUUUUGAAUCCCAGCCAUCCCAGCCUCCACAGUCUGAAGCAGAAACAUCUCAUCCAAACUGCAUUUGUGUGAGCAAGAAAUAAAUGCAGACAGUUAUAUGCCAAGGAGAUUUUAUAGUUGCUUGUUAUGUAAUAACAAUGACUAAUAGAGAAAUGAUUGAAGAGUACUGAAUCACAACAUUACUAGCUCAACCUGCUCCCCAGAAAAUUGCUAAUAAAGACAAUAAUAACAAGAAUUCCCUCUUAUUAAUGCCUAUCAAAUGCCAGCAAUAACUAGAUGCUUUGCACAUUGUAAUCUCAUUUUAUCCUAGGAAGACAACAACUCUGUGAAGUUGGUGAUCUUAUCCCUAUUUCA